GACGUAGGGUGCAAGCGUUGUCCGGAUUUACUGGGCGUAAAGAGCGCGUAGGCGGUCUGUUAAGUGUGAAGUGAAAUCUCCAGGGCUCAACCCGGAAACGGCUUCGCAUACUGGCAGACUGGAGGGAUGCAGAGGUGAGUGGAAUUCCUGGUGUACCGGUGAAAUGGGUAGAUAUCAGGAGGAACACCCGUGGCGAAGGCGGCUCACUGGGCAUCACCUGACGCUGAGGCGCGAAAGUGUGGGUAGCAAA
This 250-nucleotide ribosomal RNA is filed under the name uncultured bacterium. Its description in RNAcentral is "partial 16S ribosomal RNA". It matches the Rfam family "Bacterial small subunit ribosomal RNA", at positions 524 to 772 of the family's 1533-position model. The record is from RNAcentral.